This 1232-nucleotide ribosomal RNA is filed under the name Enterococcus faecium. RNAcentral's name for it is "partial 16S ribosomal RNA". It matches the Rfam family "Bacterial small subunit ribosomal RNA", at positions 1 to 1204 of the family's 1533-position model. Lineage: Bacteria; Bacillati; Bacillota; Bacilli; Lactobacillales; Enterococcaceae. The record is from RNAcentral.
UUUUUAUGAGAGUUUGAUCCUGGCUCAGGACGAACGCUGGCGGCGUGCCUAAUACAUGCAAGUCGAACGCUUCUUUUUCCACCGGAGCUUGCUCCACCGGAAAAAGAGGAGUGGCGAACGGGUGAGUAACACGUGGGUAACCUGCCCAUCAGAAGGGGAUAACACUUGGAAACAGGUGCUAAUACCGUAUAACAAUCGAAACCGCAUGGUUUUGAUUUGAAAGGCGCUUUCGGGUGUCGCUGAUGGAUGGACCCGCGGUGCAUUAGCUAGUUGGUGAGGUAACGGCUCACCAAGGCCACGAUGCAUAGCCGACCUGAGAGGGUGAUCGGCCACAUUGGGACUGAGACACGGCCCAAACUCCUACGGGAGGCAGCAGUAGGGAAUCUUCGGCAAUGGACGAAAGUCUGACCGAGCAACGCCGCGUGAGUGAAGAAGGUUUUCGGAUCGUAAAACUCUGUUGUUAGAGAAGAACAAGGAUGAGAGUAACUGUUCAUCCCUUGACGGUAUCUAACCAGAAAGCCACGGCUAACUACGUGCCAGCAGCCGCGGUAAUACGUAGGUGGCAAGCGUUGUCCGGAUUUAUUGGGCGUAAAGCGAGCGCAGGCGGUUUCUUAAGUCUGAUGUGAAAGCCCCCGGCUCAACCGGGGAGGGUCAUUGGAAACUGGGAGACUUGAGUGCAGAAGAGGAGAGUGGAAUUCCAUGUGUAGCGGUGAAAUGCGUAGAUAUAUGGAGGAACACCAGUGGCGAAGGCGGCUCUCUGGUCUGUAACUGACGCUGAGGCUCGAAAGCGUGGGGAGCAAACAGGAUUAGAUACCCUGGUAGUCCACGCCGUAAACGAUGAGUGCUAAGUGUUGGAGGGUUUCCGCCCUUCAGUGCUGCAGCUAACGCAUUAAGCACUCCGCCUGGGGAGUACGACCGCAAGGUUGAAACUCAAAGGAAUUGACGGGGGCCCGCACAAGCGGUGGAGCAUGUGGUUUAAUUCGAAGCAACGCGAAGAACCUUACCAGGUCUUGACAUCCUUUGACCACUCUAGAGAUAGAGCUUCCCCUUCGGGGGCAAAGUGACAGGUGGUGCAUGGUUGUCGUCAGCUCGUGUCGUGAGAUGUUGGGUUAAGUCCCGCAACGAGCGCAACCCUUAUUGUUAGUUGCCAUCAUUCAGUUGGGCACUCUAGCAAGACUGCCGGUGACAAACCGGAGGAAGGUGGGGAUGACGUCAAAUCAUCAUGCCCCUUA